GUUAGGAAUUUUGCGCAAUGGGCGAAAGCCUGACGCAGCAACGCCGCGUGAGGGAAGAAGGCCUUCGGGUUGUAAACCUCUUUUAGCAGGGACGAACACAAUGACGGUACCUGCAGAAAAAGCACCGGCUAACUACGUGCCAGCAGCCGCGGUAAUACGUAGGGUGCAAGCGUUAUUCGGAUUUAUUGGGCGUAAAGCGCAUGCAGGCGGUUUGAUUAGUCUGGUGUGAAAGCCCUCGACUCAAUCGAGGAAGUGCAUUGGAUACUGUCAGACUAGAGUGCAGGAGGGGUGAGCGGAAUUCCGGGUGUAGAGGUGAAAUUCGUAGAUAUCCGGAGGAACAACAGCGGCGAAGGCGGCUCACUGGACUGUAACUGACGCUCAGAUGCGAUAGUGUGGGGAGCGAACAGGAUUAGAAACCCCUGUAGUCC
Molecule: ribosomal RNA, 428 nt
Filed under: uncultured bacterium
Lineage: Bacteria
Description: bacterial SSU rRNA
Rfam family: Bacterial small subunit ribosomal RNA
Source: RNAcentral